This 920-nucleotide ribosomal RNA is filed under the name uncultured bacterium. Its description in RNAcentral is "bacterial SSU rRNA". It matches the Rfam family "Bacterial small subunit ribosomal RNA", at positions 51 to 986 of the family's 1533-position model. The record is from RNAcentral.
UAUCAUGCAGUCGACGAUGAGUACCUUUCGGGGUACAUCAGUGGCGGACGGCUGAGUAACACGUAGGUAACGUGCCCUUUACUGGGGGAUAACAUCGGGAAGCCGGUGCUAAUACCGCAUAAGUGCCAGGUUGAAAUACCUGUCAUUAAAGAAUUUCGGUAAAGGAUCGGCCUGCGUCUGAUUAGCUAGUUGGUAGGGUAAAGGCCUACCAAGGCAAUGAUCAGUAGUUGGUCUGAGAGGAUGACCAGCCAGAGUGGGACUGAGACACGGCCCACACUUCUACGGAAGGCAGCAGUAGGGAAUUUUGCGCAAUGGGCGAAAGCCUGACGCAGCAACACCGCGUGUAGGAUGAAGGAUCUUGGUCUGUAAACUACUGUCAGCAGGGAAUAAUUUUGACUGUACCUGCAAAGGAAGCAUCGGCUAACUACGUGCCAGCAGCCGCGGUAAGACGUAGGAUGCAAGCGUUGUCCGGAAUUAUUGGGCGUAAAGAGUUCGUAGGCGGUUAUCUAAGUCUGGUGUUAAAGCCCGAAGCUCAACUUCGGCAUGGCAUUGGAAACUGGAUAGCUAGAGUGUGGUAGAGGUAUCGGGAAUUCCUGGUGUAGCGGUGAAAUGCGUAGAUAUCAGGAGGAACACCGGCGGCGAAAGCGCGAUACUGGGCCAUAACUGACGCUGAGGAACGAAAGCCAGGGGAGCGAAAGGGAUUAGAUACCCCCUGUAGUCCUGGCCGUAAACGAUGGAUACUAGGUGUUGGGAGGAUUCGACCCCUUCAGUGCCGUAGCUAAACGCGAUAAGUAUCCCGCCUGGGGAAGUACGACCGCCAAGGUUGAAACUCAAAGGAAUUGACGGGGGCCCGCACAACCGGUGGAACAUGUGGUUUUAAUUCGAAUGCACCGCCAAAAAACCUUACCUGGGGCUUGACA